Long non-coding RNA from Triticum dicoccoides, 795 nucleotides. RefSeq lists it as uncharacterized. The transcript has 2 exons. NCBI's taxonomy places the organism in Eukaryota, Viridiplantae, Streptophyta, Magnoliopsida, Poales, Poaceae. The record is from RefSeq and is a predicted model, not a curated record.
UCUUCCUCCUCUGGUCGGUCCACUCCAACGCACUCGACACGGACACACCGUCGCCCUCGCCGUCGUCGACCCAGCCACGGGUGCUUGCCAGGAGACUCGGGAGAGCGUGAGAAGGGGAAGGCGGAGCUCACCAGGAGCUUGUAGUCGACGCAGGGGUGGCAGGGGAGGGCGAGUCUACGAUGGCGGCGCCCGGCGGUUGCUGCCCGAGCAGGGCGAUGACAGGAGGUAGGAGGAGGUUGCGGGGCUCGUCAUGAAGUUGCCCUAUAGCACCGGGGCGUUGAUACGAAGCAGCUGGGGGAGGCGGCGAGGUCUGGCGCUCUACCUCCCGACCAAAUCUAGCUCCGCCUCGCCGAGCAGGCAGGGGAGCGGCCGCGCUGUAGCUCGGCCUCGCCGGAGCGGGAUGGGGCGCGACGUGCAGGAGAUUGUACUCGCCGGAGCGGUCAGACCAAUCCACGGCGCAGUCCAAUGGAAUCCCCAAGCCGUCGACGGGUGGUGGCGCGCCGGGACGGUGGCUGCCGGAGAAGAGGGCGGCCGACGAGAUGCACCGGGCUGCCACUCUAGCACGCCCGCUACCUGUUUGGCAAAAUGCCAAGGAGGCAGAGCAGGGGGUUUGACCGGUCGCAUAACGUCCGUUUGUUUCAUCCAUUUACCCCUGCCACAUGGCACCUGACAGCGGAUCCCACCCGUCAGAUUUUCACUUAAACUUAUUUAACGGAGUGAUUAGUGUUUUUUGCAAACUGUAAGUACAAUAAUGAUGGGUUUUUGAAAAAAAAAUGAAUGAUGGCGGUUUUUUGA